RNAcentral lists this non-coding RNA (24 nucleotides) under Arabidopsis thaliana (thale cress). The record is from RNAcentral. Lineage: Eukaryota; Viridiplantae; Streptophyta; Magnoliopsida; Brassicales; Brassicaceae.
GGACGGCGAUUUGUGGUGUAGAGA